UUUCUUCCUCAUUACCAUCACUACUUCAUCCUCCUCAUUAUCAUCAUCAUCACCAUUAUCUCCAUCACCAUGGCAUGGAGCUGACCAAGAGUUCUUAAAGACUUUCCUGGUGGAGUAUAAUUGAUGACAAAGCCAUCUACAAUGAAAAAACUUUGAAUAUAGACCCAGAAAUAGACCAUGUUUUUGCUGUUAGAGGACUAGUUAGUGCAAAGACUCAUCACCAAAAGUUUGUCUCAGAUCAUUUUUCCCUAACAGAACAACUUGAUGUAGACAAUUUGCUCUGACAUAGAAGAAUCAGAAUCUGACUGGCAGGAGAGUUCUUAAUGGAAAAAAAAGCAUAGUCUUCCUCAACAAUAGCAUUGCCCUCCUCAACGUCCCUUUAUUUGAUCAGAUGCAAAUCCCCAGCAUGAUCCUGGUUCAUGUGGGAAACUCUUUCUCAGAACAAGAAAGAGAGCAGGGCUACCCCUCAACUUGGUCUUUCAGGAAGAACAACUCAACAAGAUUGUGGUGGGAAUUGAACAGCUAUCAGUAGGAAGGUGCUAUGAACCGAACCAUGUAGACAAGAGGAGCAAUUAGAUGGAGAGACUACAUCCAAAGGAAUGUUGCAGACCUGAGGACCGCCUCUGCUCAAAGGGAAUCUCUGUGGUCAUUCAAACAGGACCUCACAUGGAUGACAGAAUUGUCCAUCCCAUUUUUGGACAACUGAAGCUUGAAUGUUCACCGUGCAGUGAGUCCCAUCACAUUGAAAUAUCAUUAUUUGGGGGUAUUUUCAGCGAGAAAACCACCCAUGAAGGUCGAUCACUAUCCUGCAAUUUAGAGUUGAGAGAAUGGACUGGGACCUCUCAUUGAGAGGGUGAGAGAUUUGCCCAGGUUCUCUCAGUCAGCCCAUGUCAGUGGUGAGACUUGACCCCAGGACUUCCUGUUUCCAAGACCUGAAUUCUUGUGCACUCUAGCACAAUUUCUAACCUCUUAACUCUUUCUUGAGAUCACAUACUACUCUUUGAGCCAAAUUUAGAAUCAUU
This 1022-nucleotide long non-coding RNA is filed under the name Monodelphis domestica (gray short-tailed opossum). RNAcentral's name for it is "lncRNA (ENSMODG00000046430.1)". Lineage: Eukaryota; Metazoa; Chordata; Mammalia; Didelphimorphia; Didelphidae. The record is from RNAcentral.